UGCGUGAAUGACUUGUAAUAUAAACAUUUGUUAACUCCGUGGUCUUGUUGCAUGUAUCAUCAGAAAAUUUUUUUAUGAUGAGGACAUCUACAAUCACAGUGGUGGUAGUUUUGAUCGCAAUUAUAUAUACAGAGCAGGCAUCGGCACAAAGCUGGUGGGAUAGAAUCCUCGGACGUGCCCGGAGUGGAUGGAACACUGCUAGAGACCAUGCAAGACAAGCCGCACAGGACGUCCACGAAACGGCCCACUCUGGGUUUGACCUCGCUAGACAGGCUGUGCAAGACGCCCAUGAUGCGGCCCACACUGGGCUAGAUCUCGCUAGAGAGGCUGCUCGUGGCAUUGGAGACAAGUUUCGCUCUCGGUUAGAACAAGCCAGGCGACUUGCCCAAGAAGCCAGAGACGCAGUGAUAGACUAAAGUGAUCAAGAAUCAGCUAUGUAUUGUGAUGAUAUGGUUACUGCGAAAACAGUGGAGUCCAAAGCCUUUGUCUUAUUAAUACAAGUCAGCAGACAACUUUUACUUUGUGUACACAUACUAUAAAAUAAAGCAAUGAUAAAAGAA
Molecule: long non-coding RNA, 560 nt
Organism: Saccostrea echinata
Lineage: Eukaryota; Metazoa; Mollusca; Bivalvia; Ostreida; Ostreidae
Exons: 3
Source: RefSeq, a predicted model, not a curated record